CUCUGUGACUCCUACGGGAGGCAGCAGUGGGGAAUAUUGCACAAUGGGGGAAACCCUGAUGCAGCCAUGCCGCGUGUGUGAAGAAGGCCUUCGGGUUGUAAAGCACUUUCAGUAGGGAGGAAGGUAGUGUAGUUAACACCUGCAUUAUUUGACGUUACCUACAGAAGAAGCACCGGCUAACUCCGUGCCAGCAGCCGCGGUAAUACGGAGGGUGCGAGCGUUAAUCGGAAUUACUGGGCGUAAAGCGCAUGCAGGCGGCCUGUUAAGUCAGAUGUGAAAGCCCGGGGCUUAACCUCGGAAUUGCAUUUGAAACUGGCAGGCUAGAGUCUUGUAGAGGGGGUAGAAUUUCAGGUGUAGCGGUGAAAUGCGUAGAGAUCUGAAGGAAUACCAGUGGCGAAGGCGGCCCCCUGGACAAAGACUGACGCUCAGAUGCGAAAGCGUGGGGAGCAAACAGGAUUAGAUACCCUGGAG
Molecule: ribosomal RNA, 471 nt
Filed under: uncultured bacterium
Lineage: Bacteria
Description: bacterial SSU rRNA
Rfam family: Bacterial small subunit ribosomal RNA
Source: RNAcentral